AUUGAACGCUGGCGGCAGGCCUAACACAUGCAAGUCGAACGGUAACAGGAAGCAGCUUGCUGCUUUGCUGACGAGUGGCGGACGGGUGAGUAAUGUCUGGGAAACUGCCCGAUGGAGGGGGAUAACUACUGGAAACGGUAGCUAAUACCGCAUAACGUCGCAAGACCAAAGAGGGGGACCUUAGGGCCUCUUGCCAUCGGAUGUGCCCAGAUGGGAUUAGCUAGUAGGUGGGGUAACGGCUCACCUAGGCGACGAUCCCUAGCUGGUCUGAGAGGAUGACCAGCCACACUGGAACUGAGACACGGUCCAGACUCCUACGGGAGGCAGCAGUGGGGAAUAUUGCACAAAGGGCGCAAGCCUGAUGCAGCCAUGCCGCGUGUAUGAAGAAGGCCUUCGGGUUGUAAAGUACUUUCAGCGGGGAGGAAGGGAGUAAAGUCAAUACCUUUGCUCAUUGACGUUACCCGCAGAAGAAGCACCGGCUAACUCCGUG
Molecule: ribosomal RNA, 490 nt
Filed under: uncultured bacterium
Lineage: Bacteria
Description: partial 16S ribosomal RNA
Rfam family: Bacterial small subunit ribosomal RNA
Source: RNAcentral